Equus caballus (horse) is the source of this 1459-nucleotide non-coding RNA. The record is from RefSeq and is a predicted model, not a curated record. Lineage: Eukaryota; Metazoa; Chordata; Mammalia; Perissodactyla; Equidae.
AUCACCACUCAUGGACUAUGGGUGACAUCUACCUCCUCCACAUGAGUGGCCUCUGUGACUUCAACCACCACCUCCACUCCCCAAUUGGUCUAUCAGAGAAAUGAUGUCACAGGGCCAUUGUUGCCUGCAGAAUCAGAGAACCAGACUGGCUCAUACCGACAAUCACUACUUACUGGACCAGAAGCCCAAGAUCAGAACUCUCCACAGGAACCAGAACACCAUGGCAGUUUGCAUUAAUUAGGAGAAAGUCAAUUGCACCAGCAAAUGGAAAUCUAGGAAGAAGCAAAUCCAGUAAGUAGUGUGCUUAGUUUCUUUACAUGUUGUAGCUGCACUUUUCACACUGGUAAAGCAUAACAAUAUCCUGACCUUUUGCAGAGCAGUUGUUUGACUACUUAAUUGUCAUUGAUUUUGAGUCGACAUGCUGGAAUGAUGGGAAACACCACCAGAGCCAGGAAAUAAGUAAGUCUGGACUGCUGAUGGCCAGGACUAGCACUUGAUGAGUAACUUGAAGAUUUAUAGAUAGAAAUGAGUCAACGGUUAGUUUGAGAAAACGAAAUGGUCUAUGAAUUGGUAGUUUGCUAUAAAACCUGAUUUGUCAAAAAAAGAACAAGAACCUAAAUACCUAAAUGUGUCAUCACAUAAAAUAAUUGUUUUAGGGUUACACACGAAAUCUCAAUUGCAUAGAAACUAAAAAAAAAACCUUUGUAAAAAAGGAGUAUAUUUCAACUUCCAUGUAGCCUUCGUAAUUUAAUUGUGGAAAUAUGUUCAUGAAUUUUAAGUAGAUAGACUCAUAGCUUCAAUACUUUGACUUACUCUUUGGCAUAACCUUAUUAUAAUCAUUAUAUCACACUACUUUGGUCAUUUUAAUAUGCUUUUACUGAAACCGAUUGUUUAAUAAUGCUAUAUGAUCGUAAUCUAUGUUUAAUUUAGAGUGAUUACAGCAUUAAUUUAACAAUUACAUAUUCAAGUGUCAGUUGCAUCUUUCAUGUAGUUGAAUUUCCAGCAGUACUGCUGAACACAUCAACUGGAGACAUUGAACCUGAGUUCCAUGCUUAUGUUCAGCCUCCGGAACAUCCAGUUCUUUCUGAAUUUUGCAUGAGACUCGCAGGCAUGAAGCAGGUAUUUCCAGCAGUUUAAGUUCCAGCAGUGUAAGCCAUUUUUUCUUGCUGUGUUUAAGAUCCACCUAGCUGCAUUUUUAGCGUGUGCCUGGUGUUUUGAUGUGCGUUUACAUAGUGGUUGGACAAGUUUAGUCAUUUGGCUGAAUGGCAAAUCAGCAUCAGCCUAUGGUUUGUCUGCCUGUAGCCUUCAUAGGUGUCCAGCUUAGUGCUGUGUUUCCCAUCCUGCAUCACCCCAGGGCUGAUGGAUCUUCCUGCAGCCUCACAAUGCUUCAGAUUCUUUUUUUUUUUUUCCUAAAGAUUGGCACCUGGGCUAACAACUGUUGCCAGUCUUUUUUUUUUUU